This 253-nucleotide ribosomal RNA is filed under the name uncultured bacterium. Its description in RNAcentral is "partial 16S ribosomal RNA". It matches the Rfam family "Bacterial small subunit ribosomal RNA", at positions 524 to 776 of the family's 1533-position model. The record is from RNAcentral.
UACAGAGGUCUCAAGCGUUGUUCGGAUUCAUUGGGCGUAAAGGGUGCGUAGGCGGCGCGGUAAGUCGGGUGUGAAAUUUCGAGGCUUAACUUCGAAACUGCAUUCGAUACUGCCGUGCUUGAGGACUGGAGAGGAGACUGGAAUUUACGGUGUAGCGGUGAAAUGCGUAGAUAUCGGGAGGAACACCAGAGGCGAAGGCGGGUUACUGGGCUGAUACUGACGCUGAUGCGCGAAAGCCAGGGGAGCAAACGGG